Molecule: long non-coding RNA, 565 nt
Organism: Polypterus senegalus (gray bichir)
Lineage: Eukaryota; Metazoa; Chordata; Cladistia; Polypteriformes; Polypteridae
Exons: 3
Source: RefSeq, a predicted model, not a curated record
CAGCAGGAAUGGCAUCUUUCCAACUACAGCUGUGCUCCCCAUUUCCUCAUUCCCUAUUGUACCAUCUCUAAUGCUGUCUUGCUGUCUAAAGAAAAAGCAGCAAGUAAAGUGAUUUGCCUUUUGCUCAUGUAUGCAGCAUUUAUUUAGAUGCACACAGAUCACUGAGCUCAGCAAAGUUCACAGAUCAGUGGAAAUCUUUUUCUGUUCCCUUUUAACUUCAGAAUUAUCCUGGUGCAUUAUAACAAAGUCAUGGUGAAAUUAGCUUCUUAUGAUCUUCAGCAUCUUGCGUGAGGAUUUCUUCAGAGGCUGGAGAUGUGCCUUCAGACCUUCUCUUCAUUGACAUUGAAAAUUGCACAGGAAUAAGGUGGCUGACAUAAUGAAUGGUACUGAAGGGAAGAGCAACAGGACUGGCAUCCCGGCAGCCAUGGAUAAGAAUCAUAUACCCAGAUGGAAUGCUACUAUACAGCAAGGACACAAUGGAUGGAGUAUCCUUACUGAAAUAAGUCAGCGUUUCUCAGCCUUUAAGUAUUUGCGACUCGAAUUUUCAUAUCAGUUUUAAUCGCAC